AUGGCACCAGGACCGCCGCCAGCACUCCCGGACGAGCUUGUAGAAGAGAUCCUCAUCCGCAUCCCGCCCGACGACCCGGCCAGCCUCCUCCGUGCCUCCCUCGUCUGCAAGUCCUGGAGCGAGGUCGUCUCCCGCCGUGGGUUCCACCGCCUCCUCCAUGAUCUCCACCGAGCA
This 174-nucleotide ribosomal RNA is filed under the name Triticum aestivum (bread wheat). RNAcentral describes it as "partial small subunit ribosomal RNA". The record is from RNAcentral. Lineage: Eukaryota; Viridiplantae; Streptophyta; Magnoliopsida; Poales; Poaceae.